RNAcentral lists this ribosomal RNA (800 nucleotides) under Streptomyces sp. CNRE14. RNAcentral's name for it is "bacterial SSU rRNA". It matches the Rfam family "Bacterial small subunit ribosomal RNA", at positions 106 to 918 of the family's 1533-position model. The record is from RNAcentral. Lineage: Bacteria; Bacillati; Actinomycetota; Actinomycetes; Kitasatosporales; Streptomycetaceae.
GUGAGUAACACGUGGGCAAUCUGCCCUGCACUCUGGGACANNNCCUGGAAACGGGGUCUAAUACCGGAUAAUACUCCCGCACUCAUGUGUGGGGGUUAAAAGCUCCGGCGGUGCAGGAUGAGCCCGCGGCCUAUCAGCUUGUUGGUGAGGUAAUGGCUCACCAAGGCGACGACGGGUAGCCGGCCUGAGAGGGCGACCGGCCACACUGGGACUGAGACACGGCCCAGACUCCUACGGGAGGCAGCAGUGGGGAAUAUUGCACAAUGGGCGAAAGCCUGAUGCAGCGACGCCGCGUGAGGGAUGACGGCCUUCGGGUUGUAAACCUCUUUCAGCAGGGAAGAAGCGAAAGUGACGGUACCUGCAGAAGAAGCGCCGGCUAACUACGUGCCAGCAGCCGCGGUAAUACGUAGGGCGCAAGCGUUGUCCGGAAUUAUUGGGCGUAAAGAGCUCGUAGGCGGCUUGUCACGUCGGGUGUGAAAGCCCGGGGCUUAACCCCGGGUCUGCAUUCGAUACGGGCUAGCUAGAGUGUGGUAGGGGAGAUCGGAAUUCCUGGUGUAGCGGUGAAAUGCGCAGAUAUCAGGAGGAACACCGGUGGCGAAGGCGGAUCUCUGGGCCAUUACUGACGCUGAGGAGCGAAAGCGUGGGGAGCGAACAGGAUUAGAUACCCUGGUAGUCCACGCCGUAAACGGUGGGAACUAGGUGUUGGCGACAUUCCACGUCGUCGGUGCCGCAGCUAACGCAUUAAGUUCCCCGCCUGGGGAGUACGGCCGCAAGGCUAAAACUCAAAGGAAUUGACGGGG